GGGCCUGUAGCUCAGUUGGUUAGAGCAGCGGACUCAUAAUCCGUUGGUCCCCAGUUCAAGUCUGGGCAGGCCCACCA
This 77-nucleotide transfer RNA is filed under the name Gammaproteobacteria bacterium. RNAcentral describes it as "tRNA-Ile". It matches the Rfam family "tRNA". Rfam says of the family: Transfer RNA (tRNA) molecules are approximately 80 nucleotides in length. Their secondary structure includes four short double-helical elements and three loops (D, anti-codon, and T loops). The record is from RNAcentral. Lineage: Bacteria; Pseudomonadati; Pseudomonadota; Gammaproteobacteria.